AUUGAACGCUGGCGGCAGGCCUAACACAUGCAAGUCGAGCGGAUGAAGGGAGCUUGCUCCUGGAUUCAGCGGCGGACGGGUGAGUAAUGCCUAGGAAUCUGCCUGGUAGUGGGGGAUAACGUCCGGAAACGGGCGCUAAUACCGCAUACGUCCUGAGGGAGAAAGUGGGGGAUCUUCGGACCUCACGCUAUCAGAUGAGCCUAGGUCGGAUUAGCUAGUUGGUGGGGUAAAGGCCUACCAAGGCGACGAUCCGUAACUGGUCUGAGAGGAUGAUCAGUCACACUGGAACUGAGACACGGUCCAGACUCCUACGGGAGGCAGCAGUGGGGAAUAUUGGACAAUGAGCGAAAGCCUGAUCCAGCCAUGCCGCGUGUGUGAAGAAGGUCUUCGGAUUGUAAAGCACUUUAAGUUGGGAGGAAGGGCAGUAAGUUAAGACCUUGCUGUUUUGACGUUACCAACAGAAUAAGCACCGGCUAACUUCGUG
This 484-nucleotide ribosomal RNA is filed under the name uncultured bacterium. RNAcentral's name for it is "partial 16S ribosomal RNA". It matches the Rfam family "Bacterial small subunit ribosomal RNA", at positions 30 to 507 of the family's 1533-position model. The record is from RNAcentral.